Molecule: transfer RNA, 75 nt
Filed under: Mariprofundus sp.
Lineage: Bacteria; Pseudomonadati; Pseudomonadota; Candidatius Mariprofundia; Mariprofundales; Mariprofundaceae
Also listed under: 5 other names
Description: tRNA-Val
Rfam family: tRNA
About the family: Transfer RNA (tRNA) molecules are approximately 80 nucleotides in length. Their secondary structure includes four short double-helical elements and three loops (D, anti-codon, and T loops).
Source: RNAcentral
GGGCGAUUAGCUCAGCGGGAGAGCACUGCCUUCACACGGCAGGGGUCAGUGGUUCGAUCCCACUAUCGCCCACCA